CAAAUGCUACACAGAAACACAGGCAAUAAGGAUGAUAUGUUUUAUUUUUUUUAACAAAGAUAAUAAAUAUGCAAUUUUUAACAAUAGGAGUUAGAGUAAUAUUAGUUUUAGCAAUAACGAAAUUGGAAACUUUUAGUUUAUUUAUUCCAAGUGUCAUUUUAUGUAAACAAAUACAUAUAAGUGGUAGCAUUGUCCACGACUAGCAUACCAUUACUGGUGAGAAUAGGAUGUCAAUAUUACAUUAAGGCGGGGAAUAUUAACAUUGUGUCGACACAUAUCAAUUUUGUCUAGAAUCUCAUUUCAAGUCUCUCAUUCUGUUACCAUUUUUCGUGAAUUUUAUACAAGUUGGUAUGCAUCGACACAAUUGUUCAGAUGUACCAAGCAGAUGUGCAAAUACACGAAAUUCAUAGAAUUUACGUAUUUUAAGUGCAUUUAAAUAAGGCUCUGAGUCAAUUGUAAAUCUGGCGUGCAGUACAAAAUAAAAUAAAAUAAAACUACACAAAAAUACUGCUUUGUUUUAGCCUCAAAAUGCAAUCUAAAUAAUAUUUAAUCGUUUAGCAACACUAUGAUAUACAUAUAUUUUGGAGAAUUCUCUCCAAUUAUUGACUUAGUCCUGGAAUUUUAACUAAUACCUAGUUAUCACAGUUGAGUGACUCACAUAAAAUAAUCCCUCUAUUAGGCUACUUUUAGCAGCAUGACAUUGAUAGUUAGUUCUAGAUGGGAAUGGAAUAUUUUUAUAUGGUAGAUUUAAUUUUCAAGGAAAGUGGGAUAGCAGUUUUUUUCCUCUCUAGACGCUACCAUACAUAUUUAAGCGACUAACUAGCAUCCAAACAAAACAUUAUUGGGGCACAUACGUUAUAUAUGAUGCGAUAUUUACCAAAAUACUAAUUAUUCAGAAAUCAUUUUUUUCUAAAUCUGUAAACUUUUUUUGAUUAUAUUUUCGGUUUGUUGACAAAAGAACAAACUUUUGGUAAAUAACACAUAACGAGACAGAGCAUCCGCUUAUUCCCAAAACACCACAUUAUAAAACAGGUCAGUAUAGUUAAUUAUAAGUAGGUGGUAAGAGACGGAGCUAAUAUUGCAGACUAUUUUAGGAUCUGUACGAUAAGGGUAUCUUUAGUAAGUUUAGUAGUUUAGUUUGCAAGAUAAGUUUAGUGAAAAUUUUUGGAACCGCUUACUAGUUAAUUGUGGACAGUAAGGAAAAAUCUUCAAGGUUUGGAAGCUAAGCAGAUUUGUUGUCCAUGGUAUUUUGGGAAGUAUUGGCGAAUCUUUGCAAAGUUUGCAGGUUAAGCUCUAGAGCAGUUUACCAUUAUGUUUGGGAAGUAGAAGUGUUCUGUAUUUUCGGAUGUGCAAUGUUUUGGAAAUUAGCGUUUACAGGCUAAGCUCCGAAGCAGUAUACCGCGAUGUUCGGUAAGCAGGGUUGUUCAGGGCAGGGAUAGGAUACCGAUAUUUUUCGUAUGGGAUCGAAAACGGUAUUUUUUCGUUCUUUGUUAAUUAUAUCAUUUCUAACUGGGCAAUCUAAUAAUACGAAGUCGUUACCUAAAAACACAACUGAGUCCUACAU
This is a long non-coding RNA of Cydia fagiglandana, 1564 nucleotides long. RefSeq lists it as uncharacterized. The record is from RefSeq and is a predicted model, not a curated record. Lineage: Eukaryota; Metazoa; Arthropoda; Insecta; Lepidoptera; Tortricidae. The transcript has 2 exons.